UAAUUAGUUUGGCUCCGGCUCUCAAAUUUACUACCCUUCACCCCUACAUGCAUGCAAGCAAUUGCGCCCCCGCAAAACAAAGUAAUAGCGCAAACGCUUUCCUUAACGGACGCCCCUCCCUACUCCCUUCCCCUAUCAAACUCUACUCAAAACACACUUUUGCGCCUGCAGCAAAUAAUAUUGUUCCUAGGUACUACCGUGCGCCCCAGUGAGUGAAAAAAAUAUUGGAGAAGUCUGUGCCAGCAGCCGCGGUUACACAGACAAAUAUAAGUAAAUCCCUCCCCCCAGGCGUAACCUCUCCCCCGGGUAAAACAACAAAAACCAGGAGUCCAACCCGAACACACACCCCUUCCCCCACGAACCCAACUUCCCUCCUCCGCCGAAAACUCGGACAAAAACAAGGAUUAGAUACCCUUUUAUCCCAAGUUAUCAAAACUAGGGCAGUACGAACGUAAGUUUAAAACCCAAAGAGCUUGGCGGUGCUUCACCAAACUAGGGGAGCCUGUCGCUUAAUUCGAUAAUCCGCGAUAAACCCAACCUAAUCUUGACCCCCAGCCUGUGUAUUGCCGUCGCAGGCCUACCUCCAAAGAGAGUAGACACACAAGCCACAUUCAUCGCUACCACGUCAGGUAAAAUGCAGCCAAUGAUUAGGGGCUGAUAGGCUACAAUUCCCGAUUGUUACUGGAACCAGCGGGGAACCCCGUCGUGAAAAUGGACUUAGAAGUAAUUUUCACUCAUCACGUGAAAAUGAAACCUGCCAUCUUGAAGCGUGCACACAUCGCCCGUCACUCUCGCUGAGAAGUGAGAUAAGUCGUAACAUAGUAGGCGUACCGGAAGGUGCGCCUC
Molecule: ribosomal RNA, 846 nt
Filed under: Sipunculus nudus (marine worm)
Lineage: Eukaryota; Metazoa; Annelida; Sipuncula; Golfingiida; Sipunculidae
Description: 12S ribosomal RNA
Rfam family: Bacterial small subunit ribosomal RNA
Source: RNAcentral